CUAGCCGUAAACGAUGGAUACUAGGCGUUGUGAGUAUCGACCCUCACAGUGUCGUAGCAAACGCGUUAAGUAUCCCGCCUGGGGAGUACGCGCGCAAGCGUGAAACUCAAAGGAAUUGACGGGGGCCCGCACAAGCGGUGGAGUAUGUGGUUUAAUUCGAUGCAACGCGAAGAACCUUACCAGGACUUGACAUGUCGCGAAUCUCAGGGAAACUUGAGAGUGCCUUCGGGAGCGCGAACACAGGUGGUGC
RNAcentral lists this ribosomal RNA (250 nucleotides) under uncultured Chroococcidiopsis sp. Its description in RNAcentral is "partial 16S ribosomal RNA". It matches the Rfam family "Bacterial small subunit ribosomal RNA", at positions 796 to 1044 of the family's 1533-position model. Lineage: Bacteria; Bacillati; Cyanobacteriota; Cyanophyceae; Chroococcidiopsidales; Chroococcidiopsidaceae. The record is from RNAcentral.